Molecule: small RNA, 128 nt
Filed under: Rhizobium sp. N113
Lineage: Bacteria; Pseudomonadati; Pseudomonadota; Alphaproteobacteria; Hyphomicrobiales; Rhizobiaceae
Also listed under: 9 other names
Description: miscellaneous other RNA
Source: RNAcentral
UCUGAGCAGGAAAUAAGUAUGAUUAUUUCCAUCGAAGCGAUGCACCUCCUCCCGCAUCCCUUCGAACAUGCAGGCGCCCCAUCCUCCUCCCAGGGUCGCUUGCGGGAACGGCAGCACUCCUCCUCCCA